GAGAAUUCUGGGAAGAACAGAGAGAAUGAGUCACGAUUGCCAUGUAGCUACCAGGAAGAUCGGACACCCAGGCAUUCUCUGGUCUCAUGGAAGGCACUGACCUGUGAUUUAUGUGUCAUAAAAGGGCCAGGAUGUUUGAUGCGCACACUUAUCCGCUGGAGAAGAAACAUUAAAUGAAAGCUAAUGGACCCGGGCACAUGCGCAUUCCAUGGCAAUCCGGCCCCUGGCCAGGCCACGCUGAUUUUCAGGUCACAGAUCUCCAUGCAGCUGAAUCAGCAAAGCCAAAAGGUCUGAACUCCCUGCUCCUUCACCACCGAAAGGCUUUUGCAACCGUGUUUUAUAUGUAACCCUUCAGAGUUAAAAUCCUGACGUGAAGGCAAAAUCCAAGCUGAUGAGGCCAUCGAAAAUGAGAGUUAACAAGCCACAGUUCCGGAGGGAAGGCCUCUUUGACCUAAUACUGAACAGUUUCUUACAGCGGUUGAGUCCCUUUGAAUGGCGGAGAGCGGAGCUUUCAUUGAGCCAUUGGUAAUCAAGCCCAUCUUCUGUUUCUCAAGGUACUGAUGACUGGACCAACAGCACCAGCAUAGAACUUGUUAGAGAAGAAAAUACUUGAGCAAAACCUGGGACUCCCUUCUUAGUUCAUCUUCAUUGUCUAUUUGAUCCUAUUAGGAAUGACCUAUGGGGCACACUUCUGGGUUAUUUAUAGAUAGCUCUCAAGUAUGUGCAAGUGUGUGUGUGUGUGUGUGUGUGUGUGUGUGUGUGUGUGUGUGUGCGCGUGCGCGCGCGCGCGCACUUGUAUCCAUGCAUGCACGCUUCCAGGUAUUUAUGCAUAACGCAGGCAUGCUGGUGAUCACCGGGGCCAGAAGAGGAUGUCAGAUUCCUUGGAACUGGAGUUGCAUAUGGUUGUGAGCCACCACGAGGAUGCUGGGAACUGGAUUCAGGUUCUCUGGAAGAGGCACCAUUUUAUGACACACCCCAUAAAUCAGAACUCUGGGGAUGGGGCUUAGUAGGUUAGAGUUCAGCUGUUCCUCCAGGUGGCCCUGAAUCUUGCUGAAGUUCACGUACACUUGUUUCAAAGAGCCUCUCAAAUUCUCAUGGGGCAAAAUGGGAGAAAUAGAUAUUCAGCUGACAAUCGAGUCCUUAUGCAGUUAGCAAUGUGAUUAUUGAAAUUGCC
RNAcentral lists this long non-coding RNA (1174 nucleotides) under Cricetulus griseus (Chinese hamster). Its description in RNAcentral is "lncRNA (ENSCGRG00015039290.1)". The record is from RNAcentral. Lineage: Eukaryota; Metazoa; Chordata; Mammalia; Rodentia; Cricetidae.